ACUCAAAGGAAUUGACGGGGGCCCGCACAAGCGGCGGAGCAUGUUGCUUAAUUCGAUGCAACGCGAAGAACCUUACCUAGGCUUGACAUGCACGGAAAUCUCGCAGAGAUGCGGGGUCCGUAAGGGCCGUGCACAGGUGGUGCAUGGUUGUCGUCAGCUCGUGUCGUGAGAUGUUGGGUUAAGUCCCGCAACGAGCGCAACCCUCGUUCCAUGUUGCCAGCACGUGAUGGUGGGGACUCAUGGGAGACUGCCGGGGUCAACUCGGAGGAAGGUGGGGAUGACGUCAAAUCAUCAUGCCCCUUAUGUCUAGGGCUGCAAACAUGCUACAAUGGCCGGUACAAAGGGCUGCGAUACCGUGAGGUGGAGCGAAUCCCAAAAAGCCGGUCUCAGUUCGGAUUGGGGUCUGCAACUCGACCCCAUGAAGUUGGAGUCGCUAGUAAUCGCAGAUCAGCAACGCUGCGGUGAAUACGUUCCCGGGCCUUGUACACACCGCCCGU
RNAcentral lists this ribosomal RNA (497 nucleotides) under uncultured bacterium. RNAcentral describes it as "partial 16S ribosomal RNA". It matches the Rfam family "Bacterial small subunit ribosomal RNA", at positions 899 to 1397 of the family's 1533-position model. The record is from RNAcentral.